Molecule: long non-coding RNA, 705 nt
Organism: Anser brachyrhynchus (Pink-footed goose)
Lineage: Eukaryota; Metazoa; Chordata; Aves; Anseriformes; Anatidae
Source: Ensembl
AUGAGCGCCUGGCCCUCUCCUCUGCUCUGGAGCUUGGCCACGGCGUGUCUGACAGGUAUUGCUUUAGGCCAGCUGACCACUACCCAAGUCCCUGUUUCAUCAACCCCGGUGCCUCCCAGUGGCACCACGACCCAUGCCUCCACACCCCCAGCUCCUGGUGGUGUUACAACCACCACAGACCUCGUCACGGCCACAGCUGUGCCAUCGGCAGACCCUGGAACAACAACGCUCGCUCCGGCCCUGCCCACCACCCUGCCGGUGACCGCGCUCACCUCUGGGAUCGUCACCACCUCUCACGCAUCCACCAGUGCCUCGGCCACCCCUCCAGAUGUCACCACGUCUUCUGGAGAUCCACCAACAGCUCCGUCCCUCACCACCUCUGUGCCCUCCAACUGCAGCAGAGUGAACGUGAUGGCAUGUGCCCCUUGCUCCCCAGGGACAUUUCCCAGCGAUGACGCCUGGAGCUGCUCGUGCUGCACGGGGGGCUCGUGCACGGACGCCGGUGCCUGCGUUCCCUGCCCGGUGGGGCACUACCAGCCCGCGUGGGGACAGCAGAGGUGCCUGCCGUGUCCGCAGGGACACUACGCCAACGCCACGAGGAGCACCGCGUGCUCCCCCUGCCCGCCCGGCCAUUACGCGAACGAGUCUGGGGCUGCAGCCUGCAGAGCGUGCCAGAAAGGCUGUCUUCUGCAGUUUGAAUAUUAA